This 585-nucleotide ribosomal RNA is filed under the name uncultured organism. Its description in RNAcentral is "bacterial SSU rRNA". It matches the Rfam family "Bacterial small subunit ribosomal RNA", at positions 91 to 681 of the family's 1533-position model. The record is from RNAcentral.
AUCAGCGGCAGACGGGUGAGUAACACGUAGAUUACCUGCCCUCAAGACGGGGACAACCGGUGGAAACAGCGGCUAAUACCCGAUAUGCUCACAGGAUCGGGAGAUCGAGUGAGGAAAGCGCCCCUUCGGGGGAGAGUGUNUGAGGAGGGAUCUGCGGCCCAUCAGCUAGUUGGUGAGGUAACGGCUCGCCAAGGCGAAGACGGGUAGGGGGUGUGAGAGCAUGGCCCCCCACAAUGGGACUGAGACACGGCCCAUACUCCUACGGGAGGCAGCAGCGGGGAAUAUUGCGCAAUGGACGGAAGUCAGACGCAGCGACGCCGCGUGGGUGAGGAAGGCCUUCGGGUUGUAAAGCCCUUUUCAGGGGAGCGAGAAAGGACGGUACCCUUGGAAUAAGCGUCGGCUAACUACGUGCCAGCAGGCGCGGUAAGACGUAGGACGCAAGCGUUAUCCGGAUUUACUGGGCGUAAAGCGCCUGUAGGCGGUCAAGUAAGUCGGAUGUGAAAGCCCCGUGCUCAACGCGGGGAAGCCAUUCGAUAAUGCGUGACUAGAGAACGGCCGAGGGAAACGGAAUUUCUGGUGUAGCGG